CUUCCUCCACCUUGGCCGGGAGGAGGGCCUUGUGCGACGAUCCCAGUCCCGCGGGGCCUGGUAGGAGGCGGCCCCGAGCUCUGGCCCGCCGGUGCGGGACGCGCUCCCGGCCCAUGCACUGCGCGCGGGCUGCGGGGCACCGGGCGCCGUCCCAGCCCUGCGGCUCUGUCACGCUUGUCAUCAGGGUUCUCGGGUGCAGGGGCGGGCCACAGCGCCGCCAUCGCUCAGAACCCAGGGAAAGAUGAUCCCUCAACCGUCCGGCCAAAAGCAACCACGAGACUCGGGUUCUCGAAUGAACUUGGGUCGAGGGCACACGGGAAGAGCGAGUUUUGUUUUCAGCUCUGAAAGAAGAAACUUCGCGUUCAAAACAAGAAUGUAGUCAGCGCCGUGGAAUCUUCACUGUGGGCUCCGGGAGGUCCCUCGGCUCCCGCUCUUCCAACCUUUCUGCGAGUUUAUAAAAUAUUGGGAGGGCUGAGGAUGGCGCUCAGUGGUAUAGCGCCUGCACCAAACCCUGGGCUCGCUCCAACCAACCACCUCAAAAUCCAAAGUAAAAUAUGGGGGAAAACUAAACUUGGAAUAAAAAUCGCUGGUUCUGUUCUGAAAAGCCCCACCCCCAUCCCUGUGGGGCUUCCUAGAGAGAAAUCCUUUGGAAUCGGUAAACAGAAGGUGUUUAUCCAGAUGGCCCCUACUUCCUGUUGGUAUACCAGGGCCACACACCUAAUUGCCACCCAGGUGUAUUAAAUGAACGUGCUUUGUUGUUUGACACACGGUGUCACUCAGUCUUUUACCUUGAGGCAAUCCUCCUGCCUCAGCUUCACACAUGCUGGGAUCACAAGGGCACCCUGCCACAGUGCCUGUCUACUUUAAUUGGUUUUGAUGUUUCUUCAGCUCUGCAGGCAAACAUUCUGGCCUGGAGUCAACAAGCUGUUGGUAGGAGCAUUGCCUAGCAAUGCUUUGGCUAAGAGUCCGGAAUAUUCUGGAACCUCAUGGUGCCCAGGGAAGGAAAUUUCAGAGAGCAAGCCUGGGGAACUUGUGGAUUCAACCACAAAGUUCCUGCAACCCCUGGACCUGAGAUACCUUCUGGCCUGGCCCUUUUAUAUGGGGUGCAGUCUAUCAUCCAGUCUUGGAGUUGCUCUCCAAGACAAGUUGGUUGUUGGUAAAACCAGGACUAGAUUUCACUUAUCUGCCCCCAGAUGUUGUUCAGUCAAGUUCCAACACCACUGUCACUUCUUCCAGGACCACUAAAGCCAAGAGGACAUAGGUCUGGAUAGUUGGGCAUCACAGAGAGGAAACAGCCACCCC
RNAcentral lists this long non-coding RNA (1302 nucleotides) under Cricetulus griseus (Chinese hamster). RNAcentral's name for it is "lncRNA (ENSCGRG00015042681.1)". The record is from RNAcentral. Lineage: Eukaryota; Metazoa; Chordata; Mammalia; Rodentia; Cricetidae.